GGGUAUGUAGCUCAGUUGGUUAGAGCGCAUCGUUCACAUCGAUGAGGCCAGGGGUUCGAGUCCCUUCAUACCCACAA
This 77-nucleotide transfer RNA is filed under the name Candidatus Buchananbacteria bacterium CG10_big_fil_rev_8_21_14_0_10_42_9. RNAcentral describes it as "tRNA-Val". It matches the Rfam family "tRNA". Rfam says of the family: Transfer RNA (tRNA) molecules are approximately 80 nucleotides in length. Their secondary structure includes four short double-helical elements and three loops (D, anti-codon, and T loops). Lineage: Bacteria; Candidatus Buchananiibacteriota. The record is from RNAcentral.